CUUGGAUUUCACGUGCUGGUGGGAAACCGAGAGUGGCUGUACAUGAACCUCUCCUGGGGCAUUCCUGAGCCCCCUUUUCCUUUCCUUUCAGAGCCAGCAGUGUUCAUUGAAUGAAGGACAACUGACACCCUGUAGCACUAAGGGACAGAUGUGGAGUGGCUGUUGCCAACACAUACCUACUCCAGAGGAGAAGAAAUCACAGGCAGGGGCUGGGGGUGACACAGCAGAGCCCUGGCAGUCACACAUCACACCCCAGCCCAGCUGGCAGCACCUGUACAAGAGCAGUAGUUGGCUGAGUCAAGAACAAACUGAACUGAAGCUACAGGGUGAUUUGAAAACCAACGUGCCAAAGGAAAUAUCAGUUCCUGUGCUACCUGCAGCUCCUUAAUCUCAUCUCCCACUGGAGGUGCAGCACCUGCUGACCUGCAUUUGCUGGGGCUGUCAUGGUGUCACUGCU
RNAcentral lists this long non-coding RNA (457 nucleotides) under Parus major (Great Tit). RNAcentral describes it as "lncRNA (ENSPMJG00000016046.1)". Lineage: Eukaryota; Metazoa; Chordata; Aves; Passeriformes; Paridae. The record is from RNAcentral.